Molecule: ribosomal RNA, 342 nt
Filed under: Afrixalus delicatus
Lineage: Eukaryota; Metazoa; Chordata; Amphibia; Anura; Hyperoliidae
Description: partial large subunit ribosomal RNA
Rfam family: Bacterial large subunit ribosomal RNA
Source: RNAcentral
GGAGCUUUAAACUCAUCACCAAUUACUUUUAAAUCNCUAAAAAAGGNAAAAAUGUUCUUGAUAGUUUUCGGCUGGGGUGACCCUGGAGUAAAACANACCCUCCAGAAUGAAAGGAAUAAAUCCUAACCCAAGAAUCACAAUUCUAAGAAUCAAAAACUUGACAUUAAUGAUCCAAUUACUUGAUCAACNAACCAAGUUACCCUGGGGAUAACAGCGCAAUCCAUUUCAAGAGCCCCUAUCGACAAAUGGGUUUACGACCUCGAUGUUGGAUCGGGGUAUCCUGGUGGCGCAGCCGCUACCAAAGGUUCGUUUGUUCAACGAUUAAUAACCCCACGUGAUCUG